Long non-coding RNA from Pangasianodon hypophthalmus (striped catfish), 1978 nucleotides. RefSeq lists it as uncharacterized. The transcript has 3 exons. Lineage: Eukaryota; Metazoa; Chordata; Actinopteri; Siluriformes; Pangasiidae. The record is from RefSeq and is a predicted model, not a curated record.
UUGUGUUGUGGCUUGGAGCGGAUGCUUGGGUCGUGGUUGGCACUCGGCACCCUGGUGUGGGGAAGCAGCUGGAGCUGCAGGAGGGAUGUGGUAAAUACCACCGGCUGGAUGCCUGGCAGGCAGGGAUCGGGGGUGGGAUUGGAAACACUAGGGAAAUUUCCAGACCUGCUCUGUAGUCUGGACUAUACGACUGGACUGCUUCUACUUCUGCAGAAAGGCAAUGUGAAUUGCUAUCUCCCUCUCUAUCUCUCUGUCUAUCUCUCUCGCUGCCUCUCCCUUUCUCUCCCUCAUCAUAGCAACUAUAACUGCUUAGCAACGCUGGGUGGGCGGCGGGUUGUCGGGCGGCUGCCGUCUGUGUACUGGGUUGUUGUCAUGCACCUCUCAUCCUUCACCAGCAACGAUGCUCACACUGAAUCCUGAAAACAACAGAUUUUUUUUUUCCUGGUUCUCUGUUGGAUUCACAUCUGGUGACUGGCGAAGCUGUUGAAGUACAAGUGAGCUCAUUGUCAUGUUCAUGGAACCAGAUUAAGACAACCUGUACUUGGUGACAUGGUGCAUUAUCAUGCUGGAAGUAGCCAGUAGAAGAUGGGCAAAAUGUGGCCAUAAAGGGAUGCACAUGAUCAGCAACAAUACUCAGAUCGACUCUGGCAUUCACACCAUGUUCGGUUGGCAUUAAGGUGCCCAGUGCCCAAGUGGGUGCGUGGACUGAUACUCUUGGCACCACAUUCUGACCCUACUAUCUGCAUGUUACAGCAUGUUAAAGCAACAUUUAUCUGAUCUUCAACUGUACAGUCUGGGUGAGUCUGUGCCCAAGUUUUCUGUUCGUGGCUGACAGGAGUGGAACCUGAUGUGGUGCUGUUGUAGCACUUCUGACUCAUGGUCUGACGUGUUGUGAGUUCGAAGAUGCGUUUCUGCUCACCAUGUUUGUAAAAAGUGGUUAUUUUAGUUACUAUUGAUUUCCUGUCGCAAGCAGUCUGGUCAGUCUCUUGUCGACGAGGUGUUUCUGCCAGCAGAACUACUGCUUACUGGAUGGAUUUUGUUUUUCUCACCAUUCUGUGUCACCUCUAGAGACUGUUGAGUGUGAAAAUCCCAGGAGGUCAGCAGUUUCUGAAAUACUCAAACCAGCCUGUCAGGCCCCAACUACCAUGUUCAAAGUCGCUGAGAUCACAUUUUUCUCAGAUUCUGGUGUUUGAUAUUAACAUUAACUGAAGGUCUUGAACUGUAUCUGCAUGAUUUUAUGCACUGGGCUGCUGCCACAUGAUUGGUUAAUUGCAUUAAUGAGCAGGUGUACUUGUGUUCCUAUUAAAGUGGCCAGUUAGUGUAUGCAUGUAUACAUAAAUAUAUCCUUUUUUUUCUGUGCUUGUCUGCAUUAUUGGGAUUUUUAUGUCAUAAUGAGUGUGUCCCAUUCUGUUGCAAUCUGCCAUACUUUACCUCUUUUUCAAAGCUUGUUUUUGUGCCCCAGUAAAUGAGAAAUCUCUAAAAUGUGUACAGUUUGCUUGAGUUUUUAUAACUCAGAGCUAUUUUUCUUUUAAAAAGGAGCUUAUUGUUCAGCAUGGAUGACCUAUGGAACUCCAUUUUUUUUAAAGUCUGCCCACGCAGGGAUGCACACACACACACACACACACACACACACACACACACACACACACUAUUUUGACAUUCCCUUACAGCUUAAACUGUGAAAUCUUAGAAAUGGUGUGUCUUGUGAGGUAGAGUGACUAAUACAGAGUCAGGGAUGGGUCUAAUGUUCAUUUUUUUGAUUAAAAUAAUCCUCUUUAAAACUAUGUGUACAUUAGUGCUUAGUUUUAAGUAGAGAUGGGAAUCUUUCGGCCCUCGAAAGUACUACAUAUUGAAUAUAACACUCGGGAUUGUGCUCUUAUAGGAAAAUAAUCAAUGACAAGAGUUAUUCUGGAGUUGAUUAAUUCUUUUAACAGCAUAAACUCCUCGAGAUCUGUACUAAAAACCUCCCUGUGGUGGA